UCACUGGGUGUUUGACAGAUCU
This 22-nucleotide microRNA is filed under the name Heliconius melpomene (postman butterfly). RNAcentral's name for it is "Hme-Mir-3-P18_3p (mature (guide))". Lineage: Eukaryota; Metazoa; Arthropoda; Insecta; Lepidoptera; Nymphalidae. The record is from RNAcentral.